AUGGUCCCAAAACAAUGCCAGCUAUUUGUUGUAGCUGCUGGUUUCAAACAGCAGUCUAAAGAGAAGUCUUUCUAGGGUCUCUUGGCUAUUUCAGAACUUUGGAAAUGUAAUGGUCAAUUCAUUACAAAGAAAUAGUU
Molecule: small nucleolar RNA, 137 nt
Organism: Cavia porcellus (domestic guinea pig)
Lineage: Eukaryota; Metazoa; Chordata; Mammalia; Rodentia; Caviidae
Source: Ensembl